CGGGGGGCGGGCAGCGCAGGACGUGCGGUUCCCAAACGGCCUUUUAACAACGUCACCUGUCUGCCCCUUACACAGAGGGAGACGAGUCUGUGGUGGCUCCACGGGAUUAAGAGGACUGAAAAGCAACUUCUGGAAAGAAUGCUACACAGGCAUUUAUUCUGGAGACCAGGAUUAUAAUAUAUGAGAAAAAUAUAUUUUGGG
This 201-nucleotide long non-coding RNA is filed under the name Struthio camelus australis. RNAcentral's name for it is "lncRNA (ENSSCUG00000015108.1)". The record is from RNAcentral. Lineage: Eukaryota; Metazoa; Chordata; Aves; Struthioniformes; Struthionidae.